Molecule: microRNA precursor, 205 nt
Filed under: Oryza sativa Japonica Group (Japanese rice)
Lineage: Eukaryota; Viridiplantae; Streptophyta; Magnoliopsida; Poales; Poaceae
Description: MIR812 microRNA precursor family
Rfam family: MIR812 microRNA precursor family
Source: Rfam by way of RNAcentral
AAAAAGACAAACCCUGGUUUCCGUGUCCAACGUUUGACCGUCCGUCUUAUUUGAAAAAAUUAUGAAAAAAAUUAAAAAGACAAGUCACGCAUAAAAUAUUAAUCAUAUUUUAUCAUCUAACAACAAUGAAAAUACGAAUUAUAAAAAAAUUUCAUAUAAGACGGACAAUCAAAGUUGGACACGGAAACCCAAGAUUUGCCUUUUU